UCCAUCUGGCGGCCAGUGACCUGAUGAAGGUUGAAGAGGUUUCCUCUGAAGCAAUGCAGAGAACCGCGAACUCAGCCCUGUGGGGGUUGGCUUUCUGAGCUGUCCUGGCUUUUAUGCCUAUCUAGCUAUCAUCUGUGUUAUUUUUGGUACAAGAGGUGACUUUGUCAUUCCUCUGGCAGCUCCAGUGGCAAAUGAUGUUCAGAGAAAUGUUCACCCACUUGUGCAUCUUUUUGCCUUGUGAAGCCACUGAGCAUCUGUUUGCAGUAUGCUUAGCAUGGUGAUCCAGGGUUGCAGCUGGCAAGCUGAUCUCCGUGUAGAUGAGAUGAUGUGGUAAAGCAAGCAACUUCUGUGUCAGAAUAAGGCUGUCCUCACAUGAACUUUCCUCCUCCACAGCUGUCCUGAAAGGAGACUGGAGCUGCAAGUUGAUGGCCAUGGGGCUGUCCUGUCUGCCAGCAGGUCCCAGUAUUAUGCUGUAAGUAGAACCAGAAGCUCUGGUAAGCUGCUUUAUUUACAGCUCUACUUCUGAUUUCCAGGUAAGAAAUGAUGUGUGACUUCUUCACUGUGCCAGAAAUAAUCAUUGUGGUCCUACCUAUUUUUGUUUUCCCAAUCAUGUCAUUGGGCAGAGCAUUUUCUGUGCAUCCUGUGCUGUCAAGAGCACCCUUUCCAGCUUGCAGGGGAAGUGAAAGUGGUGGUCAGGCCCUAAGAAGCUGAGCUGAGGCUCCUGUCUACUGCACACAUGACAAGAGCUUUCUGUGCUUGUGGAGUCCUGCAGCAUACAGGCAUAUUGCAUCCUGAGAAGUGAGACUUGGAGGUCCCCUGUUACACAGGGUUGGUGUGAGCUCAGUAAACAUGUCAUGUUGACUGCGUACUUACCCAAGCACAUUUUUCUAUAUAUUUGCUCAGAAGAGUCCAAAACAAAAGCCUUUGAGGAAGGCUUGUUAUUUUUACUGUUCCCUUGUAGGUGGAAGGUCCGUUUGCACAAAACAAGUUGUAUUUAGAAAGGAUUGGUUUUCUUUAUCAGUGAUGUAAGUGAAGUCUAUUGCAAAAGCACAGUGCACCUCAGUUGUUAUUGAGGGUCAAGGCAGGCUUGUAGCUCACCUAGUUGUGAUGCUUUGCCCCAGGAAAGCAGUUCUGUUGUGUGCUUUCAGUGUGAGCAUGGGAGGGGAAGAAGUAUGAGCUGAGCUCUCCAUGCUGACAGCGCACUGUGCUGGGAAAGUUUCUUAAGACUCUACAUUAGAAUUAAUUAUGGCAAAUCCCUCAGUUGGAAUGCCUGCAGAUUCCUGUCUUCACACAGUACCAUGCCAGCAUGGCAUCCUGACAGGGGUGGGUGCAGUUGAUACGAAUGUUCUUGACUUGGGCAGUUUGGCGAAUGUUGACUUAAGACUGUAAGGAUUGCCUGGAUAGAUUGAAGCAGGAUCUCCAGAAAAAUGCGGCUUCUGUUUUGUAGAUGAUAUUAAUUAUUUUGGUCUCAGAAAUCACUCUGGCCUGCUGUUUCAGACAGCCAUUACAUGCUGUAUAUAAAAGGUCAAAGAAUCACAGAAUCGUUAAGGUUGGAAAAGACUUCUAAGAUCAUGCAGUCCAACCUCCAGCCCACCCCCACCAUGCCCACUAACCAUGUCCCUCAGUGCCACAUCUCUGUGUUUCUUGAACACCUCCAGGUUCAAUGACUGUACCACCUCCCUGGGCAGCCUGUGCCCAUGUCUCACCACUCUUUCUAAUAAGAAAUUUUUCCCAAUAUCCAACCUGAACCUCAACUGCCUGACUCUUUUCACUGGUGGCUUACCCACUUUUCCACAUAUUGACAACAAUGAAAAAUUUGUUGGUGGCCGUGUGUUGAUUGCUUCCCCCUCCAGGCCUUCCCUUUGCCACCCUCUAUGCUCCCAGCUCUGUAGCUCACAGUAUGGGAAGCUGAGUAAUAAGAAGCUAUGUAGCAACAGCUUACCUAAGAUCUUGCUGUAGUAGAUGUCCCAUUCUCCCCAGUAGCUCUGGAAAAUGUAGUCUUGCAAGUGAUAAGACAGGAUAUUCUUAAUUCUCUCGCCAAAGGACAUGUGGUCAGUGAGUUCAGACAGGGCCGCAGGUGUGUAGGAUGGUGGGGCUGGGAUUUUGCCACAGUGCCUCUCAACAGUUGAGGCUGGAGAGAAGCGCAGGGAGUACAUGAAGGGCAGUGCCAGCUUGAGAGCUACGAGGUCCCCGCAGAGAGUAACUGGGUCUGACAGUAGCAGGUCAUAGUCAGAGCCCUGUAGAUGAGCCAUCAGCUCCUGGUUAGUCAGCACUGCAUCGCACAUCUGCCGGUUGACCUGGUGCCAGCUUUUAGACAGUUUCCCCAGCUCUCUGUAAAACUGCCAGAAGGUCGAGGCUGUUGGCCUGUUGUUCAGCCACAGUGCCACAAUCUCCUCAAUCAGGUUUGCAAUGGUGUCUUUCUUGAAGGGCACGUUAAAAACCUCAAAUUUCUCAGUGGUUUCAGCCUUUGGCUGAAUGAAGAGGGAAGCAUUGGACACCAGGAUGGUGACACUGUGCCCACGGCGGAUGAGCUCCCGAAUAACCGUCUUCACGUUUAGCCAGUGGCUGCCCUCCGUUGGCCAGACCAGCACAUUCCCACAGAAGACAGGUGCUACCAGAGCCACAUAGAAAGCAAGAAGCUGGAGGCAUUUCUUGGAGCUGGUGGCUUUUGUGGCCAUGGCAGAAUUGAGGACUAGAUAGCCUGGCAGCUUUCUCUUCCAGCUGGGAGCACUCCACCUCUGUGUUGUCUGUGAGAGUCUGCUGCUGCUUGAGCAGGGCCUUUCAAACCUAUGUGGUCUCUAAAACAAAGACAGGAAAGGAUGCUUGGUGAUUUGCUUUUCCCUUUCUGUUUUCUACCAUUAACCUCCCCCUGACGGUACUCCUUUCCCUAGAUAGGGGUGGCAGCAGUCCCAGCGCUGUCAGAAGUCCCUGCUUCCCUCAGACCUGUUCAUUUGCACAAUAAUUUAAUUCUUUGUUUAUUGUACUUUUUUAGUUUCUCCCUAAAGGGAUAAAAUCCUUACUGAGGACAUGAAAGCAAAUAAUAGGGAUUUUCUUCCACUAUAUAGGUGCUAUAUUAGUCAUUAACUGCUGGUAGAUAUGUAACUAUGACAAAAUAAGUGGUAUCUCUGUAAACACUGAAGGAAUAUUGAAAUUUGCUGAAGAAUGCACAGCCAUAUCUGACUUGAAGCCUGUUUUCAAUUGCAAAAGCCAUGAUGCCUGCAUACUUUAAUGUUUCUACCUUUUAUGGUACAAAUUACGUAUGCAAAAUAUAUUUUUUUACUCUUUGUUCCCAGAAUAUGCACAGGGUUCUGCUGAGCCAACACCAGCUGUGCUGCAGGAACUGUGUGCAUGAAGGUGUGUCCAGACUUGGGGCAAGAGCCCAGGGCUACACAAGCCAGAUGGACACCUGUGAUGGGACUAACAGGAAAAAAGUGAUGUUCCAGGCAUCAGUACAAAAACAUCUUCCACAUCUUCCCAAAUGUGACAGCAAGUAAGCCUCGAUGACCACCGGCACCUCAAAAAUUCAGCACCAGAGCUGAGAAGGGAGGCAUUUGCCCUGAGAAGCACCGAAUCACAUCAUGUUUCCUAUGUGUUAUUUCCAGAAAGCAGUCUUGGAGCUAAACAGAAGCUUGGAAGUCUUGAAUUGGUAAAAGACAAGUAUUUCAAAGGGAGGGCAAUGUGUGGGUGGAGAAGACUGAGGUUGUUUGGAGGUUGUUUCAUCCCCAAGUGUGGGAUGAGAUGGGAACUUAGAUUGAGGAACACAUGCUGUCCACAGUAGAAAACUGAUGCCCUUGCAAUCCCCACGUGUAAGAGGGAAACUCCAGCAACAGGUGAUGAGCUGAGACCUGUGCCAUAAUGCCAUUUCUCAGCCAGCUUGUGACUUUAUCUCAGCAUUGCAAGAGAACAAAAUGUACCUCUGCUUACAAUAUUUCCUUGUUCAGUUUCAGAUUUUUAAUUCUCUCCACUGCUGCUCGGAUACUGCAUGGACACCUUUGCAUGCUUUGUAGUCUAAGAAAGCAAUCUGGAGGCAGAGCAGAGCCCACCUCGAAUUACAAAAGGGAUAAUUUUUUUUUCUGCUGAUGUGGGUGCAGCGUGCCACUUGAGAAGCAAGAGGAAGGGAAGAGGAGGGAAUGUUGCAAGACCUGGCUUUGUAUCAACACAGGCAUGCAAAGGCUUUGUAGAGGACAGGAAGUGCCUGGAACAAAUUAAAACCAAGUAAUUUGCAUGCGCGUUGGAGCAGUCUGGCAAAAGCAGUGGUGCUUUCUGGAAGCAGCGGGAGCAGAAGUGAAAGGAAAUUCCUGCAGCUAGUCGUCAUGUUGUGGUGCUGAGGGGCUGCGAGAGGGGCUGCCAGGAGCAAUCCAGCGUUCAUACAGAUUGCUUCAGCGUAGAAAUACAUGGCCAGGGGGUGAUGGCCUGAGGAACACCCAUGGAAUGCCAGAGAAUGGGGUGAGAUGAAUGUGAAUGGAAGACUGGUGGUUGUGUUGGUGCAAGAAAUAAGGGGCGUAAAAACAAAACAAGCAACACCCAGCAAAACCAGAAUGUCAUUAUUGAAUGCCUUGGAUCACUUCACCUGCAUCUGAGAAAGAAAUCACACCUUCAGAGAGAUUCCUUCAGAAACAGCAGUAGUGGAUGUUCCAGGUCUCCGAAAGUAAACAGGACUACAGCUCUCUCUCGGCAGUGCUAGGGAUGCUUUUGGCCCCAUUCCACUUACCAUGCUUCUUUCCCAUGGCUCAGCUGCUGUGUGACCUCAGGGGGAGCUUGUCAUCAGCACCUGCUGAUGGAUAUAUGAGGAUGGAGAUGGUGGACACUGGACCACUGUGUGCAGUGUGGCAGCAGAGAUGUGCACAGGAGACAGAAAACAUAUUUGUUUCCCAUGUGUUGGAAGCACAUCUCUGACUUAUUUAUUCCUCCCCCCAAAAAGCUGUGUGUGUGCACAGCUAGAUGUGUGUCCUAAUGGAUGAUGCUCAACAUAGUGAUGCAGCUGCUAUCAAAUGAGUGUGAAAUGAUGCUGGGGAGA
Long non-coding RNA from Tympanuchus pallidicinctus (lesser prairie-chicken), 5017 nucleotides. RefSeq lists it as uncharacterized. The transcript has 3 exons. Lineage: Eukaryota; Metazoa; Chordata; Aves; Galliformes; Phasianidae. The record is from RefSeq and is a predicted model, not a curated record.